RNAcentral lists this ribosomal RNA (253 nucleotides) under uncultured bacterium. RNAcentral's name for it is "partial 16S ribosomal RNA". It matches the Rfam family "Bacterial small subunit ribosomal RNA", at positions 524 to 776 of the family's 1533-position model. The record is from RNAcentral.
UACGUAGGGGGCGAGCGUUGUCCGGAUUUAUUGGGCGUAAAGAGCGUGUAGGCGGUUCGGUAAGUCUGUCGUGAAAUCCUGAGGCUCAACCUCGGGCGUGCGAUGGAUACUGCCGGGCUAGAGGGUGGUAGAGGCGAGUGGAAUUCCCGGUGUAGCGGUGAAAUGCGCAGAUAUCGGAAGGAACACCUGUGGCGAAAGCGGCUCACUGGACCAUUACUGACGCUGAUGCACGAAAGCUAGGGGAGCAAACAGG